This 787-nucleotide ribosomal RNA is filed under the name uncultured archaeon. RNAcentral describes it as "bacterial SSU rRNA". It matches the Rfam family "Archaeal small subunit ribosomal RNA", at positions 85 to 879 of the family's 1478-position model. The record is from RNAcentral.
ACGGCUCAGUAACACGUACUUAACCUAACCUUAAGUCAGGGAUAUGCUCGGGAAACUGAGUUUAAUACCUGAUAAAGGUGCGACCCUGGAAUGAACGCACCUACAAAUUCGUGCUUAAGGAUGGGAGUGCGGCGGAUUAGGUUGUUGGCGGGGUAAUAGCCCACCAAGCCGAUGAUCCGUAAGGGCUCUUAGCGGAGAGGCCCUGAGAGGGAAUCUGAGACACUAUUCCCAGCCCUACGGGGUGCAGCAGUUAGGAAUCUUUUGCAAUGCGCGCAAGCGUGACAAAGCGAGCCAGAGUGCUUCUCAAUGAGAAGCUUUUGCCAAGUCUAAAAAGCUUGGCGAAUAAGGACUGGGCAAGACUAGUGCCAGCCGCCGCGGUAAUACUAGCUGUUCAAGUCGCAGCCAUCUUUAUUGGGUCUAAAAUAUCCGUAGCUUGCUGAAGAAGUUCCUUGUGAAAUCUUGUCUCCCAAGGGCGAGGCGUGCAAGGAAUACUCUUGAGCUUGAGACCGGAAGACGUAGGAAGUACGUUCGGAGUAGCGGUAAAAUGUGUUAAUCCCGGACGGACUCACAAUAGCGAAGGCAUCCUACGAGGACGGUUCUGACAGUUAAGGAUGAAGGCUAGGGGCGCAAAACAGAUUAGAUACCUGUGUAGUCCUAGCAGUAAACACUGCACACUAAACAUCAGUACCUCCCCGGGAGGCAUUGGUGCUGUAGGGAAGCCGAAGAGUGUGCUACCUGGGAAGUAUAGUCGCAAGGCCGAAACUUAAAGGAAUUGGCGGGGGAGCAC